This is a long non-coding RNA of Polypterus senegalus (gray bichir), 305 nucleotides long. RefSeq lists it as uncharacterized. The record is from RefSeq and is a predicted model, not a curated record. The transcript is spliced from 2 exons. Lineage: Eukaryota; Metazoa; Chordata; Cladistia; Polypteriformes; Polypteridae.
GUUUCUGUUGUUGUUUUCUUUUCAGGCAGCUUUGAACAUGGUGACCAGAUGUCUAUCCUCUGAUCUCUUAGGCGAAGGCAUUUUAUGUGUGUCCCUGCAUCCUGGAUGGGUGAAGACUGAUAUGGGUGGACCCAAAGCCCACCUGACCAAAGAAGAGAGCAUCGCUGGGAUCCUUAAUGUGAUGUCAAACUUGUCAGAAAAGGACACCGGCGGGUAUGUGUGUUACACUGGAGAGACUCUGCCAUGGUGAAGUGAGUGAGUGGCAUGUAACGAGAGCUCGUAAUAAAAAUGAAACUGUGCACAAA